Molecule: ribosomal RNA, 507 nt
Filed under: uncultured bacterium
Lineage: Bacteria
Description: partial 16S ribosomal RNA
Rfam family: Bacterial small subunit ribosomal RNA
Source: RNAcentral
AUUGAACGCUGGCGGCAGGCCUAACACAUGCAAGUCGAGCGGCAGCGGAGGGAAGCUUGCUUCCUUGCCGGCGAGCGGCGGACGGGUGAGUAAGGUAUGGGGAUCUGGCCGAAGGCGGGGGAUAACCACUGGAAACGGUGGCUAAUACCGCAUAAUCUCUACGGAGCAAAGUGGGGGACCGUUCAGGCAUUACACCUUCGGAUGAACCCAUAUGAGAUUAGCUAGUAGGUGGGGUAAUGGCUCACCUAGGCGACGAUCUCUAGCUGGUCUGAGAGGAUGAUCAGCCACACUGGGACUGAGACACGGCCCAGACUCCUACGGGAGGCAGCAGUGGGGAAUAUUGCACAAUGGGCGCAAGCCUGAUGCAGCCAUGCCGCGUGUAUGAAGAAGGCCUUCGGGUUGUAAAGUACUUUCAGUCGUGAGGAAGGUGUUAAGGUUAAUAACCUUAGCAAUUGACGUUAGCGACAGAAGAAGCACCGGCUAACUCCGUGCCAGCCGCCGCAGUAA